Molecule: ribosomal RNA, 309 nt
Filed under: uncultured Chloroflexota bacterium
Lineage: Bacteria; Bacillati; Chloroflexota
Description: bacterial SSU rRNA
Rfam family: Bacterial small subunit ribosomal RNA
Source: RNAcentral
GAUGAACGCUGGCGGCGUGCUUAACACAUGCAAGUCGAACGGUCGCAAGAUAGUGGCGCACGGGUGAGGAACACGUAGCUAACCUGCCUUCGGGUCUGGGAUAACGUCUCGAAAGGGAUGCUAAGACCGGAUAAGCUCACAAGCUGCAGAGGCUGGUGAGAAAAGGGGCAAGACGCCCGAAGAGGGGGCUGCGGCGCAUCAGCUAGUUGGUGAGGUAAUGGCUCACCAAGGCAACGACGCGUAAGGGGUCUGAGAGGAUGAUCCCUCACACUGGGACUGAGACACGGCCCAGACUCCUACGGGAGGCAG